CACUGUUGGGGGAGAUGACGGCUACUUCAGAUCCCUGCCCAUGGCGUCCUGUUUUAUCUCAGUGCCAGCUUGUUUGUACCCUAACCUAGGGAUCGAAUCCAGGUCUCCCACAUUGCAGGCAGAUUCUUUACCAGCUGAGCCACAAGGGAAGCCCAAGAAUACUGGGUAGCCUAUCCCUUCUCCAGGGGAUCUCCCCGACUCAGGAAUCAAACUGGGGUCUCCUGCAUUGCAGGUGGAUUCAUUACAAACUGAGCUAGGAGAGAAGCCAGAGCCUGCUCAGCCAUUAUCUGUUUGAAAAAUUGGGAUCUGAGGAAACGGGAAGCAGCUACAGCUGUUACACAAACCAUCCCCCCUCCUUCACACACAUAUCACCUAUUGGAUGGUAGCACCACGAACCUUCCCUGUGAAAACCCUUUCAUCAUUCAUGAAUGUUGCAACCACAAAGUUCAUAAGGCCCUGUGAUGCCCAGCACCUGGCUUGCUGUCUCUUCUGAGUUCAAGUUCCAGGUGUGCAUGUUCAAGUUCAGGGUUUGUUAUUGGUAGAAUUCUUCCAAAAAGGAUCAAAGAGCCCAGCAGAGACAGGCGUUAGCUGUGACCUGAAACACAAACCUCAUACAUUUCUGCCAGGCAGUCUGGGAAAAGUGUACCUUUCUCCUCCUGCCGAGUGUUGCAAUGGGCAAUUCUGCUACUAUCCCUUUCUUCUACUUUCUGUUGCAUUGCUCCAUCUUCCAGUUUCCUGAGACCAGUGGCGUUCACAGCUCACCCCUCGCCCCGGGGCACUGGGAACUGCAAUGCCGUGAAAAUUUCAGCCUGACAGCACUAUGCUUCCAACCAAAGGUGGAACUCAACUUUUACGACCAUCAGUUCAGAAGAAAUGAAAAUAGAACUCCGUGGGUGCAGCCUUGCGACAGCCUCUGUUUGAGUUUAUAAUCGAAAGGCUCUGGGAAAUUUCGAUUCCUACUCAGCAGAAUGGCUCAUCAGUGUAACAUUAUCCUUUCAGAAGUACAUCACACAGGGCUUCCCAGAUGGCUCAGUGGGAAAGAAUCUGUCUGCAAUGCAGGAGACAUGGGUUCAGUCUCCCAUCUGGGAAGAUCCCACAUGCCUCAGAGCAGCUAAGAUUUUGAUCCUGUGCUCUAGAGUCCAGGGCCCACAACCACUGAAGCCCUAUGGCCCGUGCUCCGCAAUGAGAAGCCAAUGCAAAGAGACGCCUGUACACCGCAACUGGAGGUCGCCACAACUAGAGAAAAACCUGCGCAGCAACGAAGACCCAGUGCAGCUAAAAAUAAAUGAAUAAAUAAAUAAAUUUUUUAAAGAAGAAGAAAUACAUCACAUACAUCUGCCCACACCAUCAGCUUCUUUCCCAGGAAGGCCCUUCUGGGUAGUGUCCAGAGAGGUGGGGGCAGGUGUGUGUGCACACGCCAUUGUCCACAAGGCCAGGCUGCUGGGUUCAAGAGCAAGGUCAUUCAGGUGGAGAAAGCUGCCUCCCCCACCAGCACACUGUCCGAGGAAUCUCGGGCCUGCGGUUCCCACAUCUGCUUUAUCACGAGAAGCUAGAAUUCCAGAUUUGAUCUGAAAUUUCCCAAUGUCUAAAUCUUAG
This 1596-nucleotide long non-coding RNA is filed under the name Ovis aries (sheep). Its description in RNAcentral is "lncRNA (ENSOARG00000025853.1)". The stretch from base 1019 to 1089 matches the Rfam family "tRNA". The record is from RNAcentral. Lineage: Eukaryota; Metazoa; Chordata; Mammalia; Artiodactyla; Bovidae.